This 819-nucleotide long non-coding RNA is filed under the name Callithrix jacchus (white-tufted-ear marmoset). RNAcentral describes it as "lncRNA (ENSCJAG00000078192.1)". Lineage: Eukaryota; Metazoa; Chordata; Mammalia; Primates; Cebidae. The record is from RNAcentral.
UGGACAUUUGGGUUGUUUCCAACUCUUGGGUGUUGUGAAUAAUGCUGCCAUGAACAAAGAUGUAUAGCUGUUUUGGUGCGUUUUGUAUGGCUAGAAACAAAAUCGCUAGAAUACAGAAUAAAUUCAACUUUAGAAGACAUUAUGCUCCGUACUGAAGAUUCCAAUAUUAAUUGCUCAUGACCUCCUCCUUUGAGUAGCAUGGAAUCUAGACAGAGAGACCACUUCAUCAAAAAAAAAAAAUCUCUAACACAAUGGGGCAAAUACAAGGGGAACUCAAAGGGAGGAGGAACGAUCUCAGCUUGAGUAAGAAGAUGCUGUGUCAGAGAAGGCUGUGUUUGAAUGGAGUGUUGAAAGGUGACUGGAGGGUGAGCAGGAGGAAGAAAUGUAAGCAUCGAGGUGCACCUAUCCAGAGAGAAGGUUCAUGCUGAGUCUCAUGAAGGCUUGAAGGCUGUUUGGUUUUGAUAAAGUUGUAAUUUGAAAUCAGUUCAUGCAAAAAUAAAAGAAUAAAACUAUUUCUAUGAAGAAUAUUUUGUAAGUUGUCUUUUAAUAAGUGAAGUUUAUUUUUUAAAAACUCUAAAUAUAAAGAAAGGCAAGCAAAAAUAUUGGAAAUUGUGAACCCAUAAUUACCUAUGGUUAUAUUUUGAUGUACGUGUAUGCAUUCCUCUAAAUACCGUAAGCUCCUCUAGAACAAGAGCCAUCUCUUAUGUUUCUUUGUAUCCUCAGGGUCUCACACACUGCUGUACACUGAGUGGGUACUUAAUAAAUUGUUAAUGAUUUAUGUAUCCAUUCAAUUCAUUGAAUUGUUAGCAUGUUCUGUGA